This 1946-nucleotide ribosomal RNA is filed under the name Shigella boydii. RNAcentral's name for it is "partial 23S ribosomal RNA". It matches the Rfam family "Bacterial large subunit ribosomal RNA", at positions 1012 to 2925 of the family's 2925-position model. RNAcentral also lists the same sequence under 1 other name. Lineage: Bacteria; Pseudomonadati; Pseudomonadota; Gammaproteobacteria; Enterobacterales; Enterobacteriaceae. The record is from RNAcentral.
GAAGAGGGAAACAACCCAGACCGCCAGCUAAGGUCCCAAAGUCAUGGUUAAGUGGGAAACGAUGUGGGAAGGCCCAGACAGCCAGGAUGUUGGCUUAGAAGCAGCCAUCAUUUAAAGAAAGCGUAAUAGCUCACUGGUCGAGUCGGCCUGCGCGGAAGAUGUAACGGGGCUAAACCAUGCACCGAAGCUGCGGCAGCGACGCUUAUGCGUUGUUGGGUAGGGGAGCGUUCUGUAAGCCUGUGAAGGUGUGCUGUGAGGUAUGCUGGAGGUAUCAGAAGUGCGAAUGCUGACAUAAGUAACGAUAAAGCGGGUGAAAAGCCCGCUCGCCGGAAGACCAAGGGUUCCUGUCCAACGUUAAUCGGGGCAGGGUGAGUCGACCCCUAAGGCGAGGCCGAAAGGCGUAGUCGAUGGGAAACAGGUUAAUAUUCCUGUACUUGGUGUUACUGCGAAGGGGGGACGGAGAAGGCUAUGUUGGCCGGGCGACGGUUGUCCCGGUUUAAGCGUGUAGGCUGGUUUUCCAGGCAAAUCCGGAAAAUCAAGGCCGAGGCGUGAUGACGAGGCACUACGGUGCUGAAGCAACAAAUGCCCUGCUUCCAGGAAAAGCCUCUAAGCAUCAGGUAACAUCAAAUCGUACCCCAAACCGACACAGGUGGUCAGGUAGAGAAUACCAAGGCGCUUGAGAGAACUCGGGUGAAGGAACUAGGCAAAAUGGUGCCGUAACUUCGGGAGAAGGCACGCUGAUACGUAGGUGAAGCGACUUGCUCGUGGAGCUGAAAUCAGUCGAAGAUACCAGCUGGCUGCAACUGUUUAUUAAAAACACAGCACUGUGCAAACACGAAAGUGGACGUAUACGGUGUGACGCCUGCCCGGUGCCGGAAGGUUAAUUGAUGGGGUUAGCGCAAGCGAAGCUCUUGAUCGAAGCCCCGGUAAACGGCGGCCGUAACUAUAACGGUCCUAAGGUAGCGAAAUUCCUUGUCGGGUAAGUUCCGACCUGCACGAAUGGCGUAAUGAUGGCCAGGCUGUCUCCACCCGAGACUCAGUGAAAUUGAACUCGCUGUGAAGAUGCAGUGUACCCGCGGCAAGACGGAAAGACCCCGUGAACCUUUACUAUAGCUUGACACUGAACAUUGAGCCUUGAUGUGUAGGAUAGGUGGGAGGCUUUGAAGUGUGGACGCCAGUCUGCAUGGAGCCGACCUUGAAAUACCACCCUUUAAUGUUUGAUGUUCUAACGUGGACCCGUGAUCCGGGUUGCGGACAGUGUCUGGUGGGUAGUUUGACUGGGGCGGUCUCCUCCUAAAGAGUAACGGAGGAGCACGAAGGUUGGCUAAUCCUGGUCGGACAUCAGGAGGUUAGUGCAAUGGCAUAAGCCAGCUUGACUGCGAGCGUGACGGCGCGAGCAGGUGCGAAAGCAGGUCAUAGUGAUCCGGUGGUUCUGAAUGGAAGGGCCAUCGCUCAACGGAUAAAAGGUACUCCGGGGAUAACAGGCUGAUACCGCCCAAGAGUUCAUAUCGACGGCGGUGUUUGGCACCUCGAUGUCGGCUCAUCACAUCCUGGGGCUGAAGUAGGUCCCAAGGGUAUGGCUGUUCGCCAUUUAAAGUGGUACGCGAGCUGGGUUUAGAACGUCGUGAGACAGUUCGGUCCCUAUCUGCCGUGGGCGCUGGAGAACUGAGGGGGGCUGCUCCUAGUACGAGAGGACCGGAGUGGACGCAUCACUGGUGUUCGGGUUGUCAUGCCAAUGGCACUGCCCGGUAGCUAAAUGCGGAAGAGAUAAGUGCUGAAAGCAUCUAAGCACGAAACUUGCCCCGAGAUGAGUUCUCCCUGACCCUUUAAGGGUCCUGAAGGAACGUUGAAGACGACGACGUUGAUAGGCCGGGUGUGUAAGCGCAGCGAUGCGUUGAGCUAACCGGUACUAAUGAACCGUGAGGCUUAACCUUACAACGCCGAAG